Non-coding RNA from Schizosaccharomyces pombe (fission yeast), 232 nucleotides. NCBI's taxonomy places the organism in Eukaryota, Fungi, Ascomycota, Schizosaccharomycetes, Schizosaccharomycetales, Schizosaccharomycetaceae. The record is from the annotation of a GenBank genome assembly.
GGAGUCCGAAAGGGCAGAAUCACUUAUAGAAUGGUCAUCAGCCAACAUUACCAUUCUCACUGACAAUCUGAACACUAUACCCUGCCUUUGUAAAGACUUGAAAGGGAUGCAAGACUUCAGUGAAAUAUGCUCCGGUCUUUGAACUGUCUUCAUAAAAAGGACCAUAAUAAUCGCUGCAAACUAGUAGAACUUUUUUUUCGGUAGACAUGUUUUGAGGAUUUAAUGUGUUAAA